Gallus gallus (chicken) is the source of this 532-nucleotide long non-coding RNA. Lineage: Eukaryota; Metazoa; Chordata; Aves; Galliformes; Phasianidae. The record is from Ensembl.
AUUUCAGUCUUGCCCACUGGGAAUCUUUAUCUUCGUGUCCACCACUGGCUUAGUAGCACGUCCAAAGAUGAUACGGCAUCCACUUGUUUAAUCUAAAAUGGUAUGAAGCUUGUAUGUCUGCUGGCUGAAUGCACGGAAGCGACUUGUCUGUCUUUGUUAAACUCUCCAUCUUCAGACACACAUCCACCAAGAGAAACGCCUGAAAAUUUGGACUGUUGGCAGGAAUUCGAUGCUCCCAUUCCCUGAAAUCAUUGCACCUCCAGGCAAAUUAAGAGAAACAAGAAAAGCAGGAUUUGGAAAUAACCUAACACAGCCCUCCAUCUAGGGGAAGAAACAGUGUCUAGAAUAGAAGAAUGUGAAGGAAGAGGUGUACCCUCAUUAAAUUCAAUAGAAAGCAAAUAUCAGAGUGUUUGUAAGCUCUCAGACAGCUCAUUUUGGGGCAGAGCAGAGGGAGAGCAAGAAGAAGAAGGGAUGCAUCACUCCGAUAUUUCCCCCUGUAUGGCAUCGCUUAUUAAAAUCCUGUUGUCCUGAC